UGGACUGAAGGGAGCUC
This 17-nucleotide microRNA is filed under the name Ananas comosus (pineapple). RNAcentral describes it as "ath-miR319a". Lineage: Eukaryota; Viridiplantae; Streptophyta; Magnoliopsida; Poales; Bromeliaceae. The record is from RNAcentral.